This is a long non-coding RNA of Dermacentor silvarum, 493 nucleotides long. RefSeq lists it as uncharacterized. Lineage: Eukaryota; Metazoa; Arthropoda; Arachnida; Ixodida; Ixodidae. The record is from RefSeq and is a predicted model, not a curated record. The transcript has 3 exons.
UGUUCCAGUGCUUCCUAUAAAUAGAGGAGGCGCUGGUGUUUCGCGACGUCCUUUAGCGCGUGGUCUGGCGUGGUUCUGCUCGUGCGCUCGCGAGUGCAUUCGGAUUUUGGUUAAGAACGCAGUAGGCCUACGACUGCGACUGUCAGGUUAGUACAGGCCGGUACUCGACGUCAACAUAGAGAUACGCCGAUAUUUUCCGCGGACAACACGCUCUGUUCGAACGCUGAGCCGAGUAGCACGGCCGACCCCGCUGAGUCGAACUCCGGUGCCAUGGAUCUCACGAGCGUCUUGGCUGCCCUGGAUCCCAUUAUGGUGAAACACUGCGGAGCGGGCCAUUGUACGGCGUUUUACAAGGUCAUUAAGGAUGGCCGAGAGCUCUGGAGGGCUCAAGUUCCUGUGCUGUGGCCCCACGAAAUGUCUGUCGAUGCCUUGGCGCUGUCCAAGAGAGAGUCGCUGUUGAUGGCAAGGGCCCGCGUGUGCUCAACUCUGCAGG